AUGUGCCGCGCAUACUCGCCGGUUCCUGCGCGCUGGCCACGCCUACCCGACAACUGCUCGCCACGUGUUGUCGGCC
This 76-nucleotide small RNA is filed under the name Xanthomonas arboricola. RNAcentral's name for it is "sRNA sX9". It matches the Rfam family "Xanthomonas sRNA sX9". RNAcentral also lists the same sequence under 2 other names. The record is from RNAcentral. Lineage: Bacteria; Pseudomonadati; Pseudomonadota; Gammaproteobacteria; Lysobacterales; Lysobacteraceae.